RNAcentral lists this ribosomal RNA (645 nucleotides) under Sphingomonas sp. EP_L_56. RNAcentral's name for it is "bacterial SSU rRNA". It matches the Rfam family "Bacterial small subunit ribosomal RNA", at positions 30 to 721 of the family's 1533-position model. Lineage: Bacteria; Pseudomonadati; Pseudomonadota; Alphaproteobacteria; Sphingomonadales; Sphingomonadaceae. The record is from RNAcentral.
GGGACAUGGGCGGCAUGCCUAACACAUGCAAGUCGAACGAGACCUUCGGGUCUAGUGGCGCACGGGUGCGUAACGCGUGGGAAUCUGCCCUUAGGUUCGGAAUAACAGUUGGAAACGACUGCUAAUACCGGAUGAUGACGUAAGUCCAAAGAUUUAUCGCCUAAGGAUGAGCCCGCGUAGGAUUAGCUAGUUGGUGUGGUAAGAGCGCACCAAGGCGACGAUCCUUAGCUGGUCUGAGAGGAUGAUCAGCCACACUGGGACUGAGACACGGCCCAGACUCCUACGGGAGGCAGCAGUGGGGAAUAUUGGACAAUGGGCGAAAGCCUGAUCCAGCAAUGCCGCGUGAGUGAUGAAGGCCUUAGGGUUGUAAAGCUCUUUUACCCGGGAUGAUAAUGACAGUACCGGGAGAAUAAGCUCCGGCUAACUCCGUGCCAGCAGCCGCGGUAAUACGGAGGGAGCUAGCGUUGUUCGGAAUUACUGGGCGUAAAGCGCACGUAGGCGGCUUUGUAAGUUAGAGGUGAAAGCCUGGAGCUCAACUCCAGAAUUGCCUUUAAGACUGCAUCGCUUGAAUCCAGGAGAGGUGAGUGGAAUUCCGAGUGUAGAGGUGAAAUUCGUAGAUAUUCUUAACAACCUCUUUCGUCAAGG